UACGAAGGGGGCUAGCGUUGCUCGGAAUCACUGGGCGUAAAGCGCGCGUAGGCGGAUCGUUAAGUCGGGGGUGAAAUCCUGGAGCUCAACUCCGGAACUGCCUUUGAUACUGGGGAUCUUGAGUCCGGAAGAGGUGAGUGGAACUCCGAGUGUAGAGGUGAAAUUCGUAGAUAUUCGGAAGAACACCAGUGGCGAAGGCGGCUCACUGGUCCGGUACUGACGCUGAGGUGCGAAAGCGUGGGGAGCAAACAGG
This 253-nucleotide ribosomal RNA is filed under the name uncultured bacterium. RNAcentral's name for it is "partial 16S ribosomal RNA". It matches the Rfam family "Bacterial small subunit ribosomal RNA", at positions 524 to 776 of the family's 1533-position model. The record is from RNAcentral.